This 431-nucleotide ribosomal RNA is filed under the name Capnocytophaga granulosa. RNAcentral's name for it is "bacterial SSU rRNA". It matches the Rfam family "Bacterial small subunit ribosomal RNA", at positions 28 to 462 of the family's 1533-position model. The record is from RNAcentral. Lineage: Bacteria; Pseudomonadati; Bacteroidota; Flavobacteriia; Flavobacteriales; Flavobacteriaceae.
GAUGAACGCUAGCGGCAGGCCUAACACAUGCAAGUCGAGGGAGAAGCCCUUCGGGGCAGAAACCGGCGCACGGGUGCGUAACGCGUAUGUAACCUACCUUUCACAGGGGGAUAGCCCGAAGAAAUUUGGAUUAAUACCCCAUAAUAUUAUUGGAUGGCAUCAUUUGAUAAUUAAAAUUACGAUGGUGAAAGAUGGGCAUGCGUCCUAUUAGCUAGUUGGAGUGGUAACGGCACCCCAAGGCUACGAUAGGUAGGGGUCCUGAGAGGGAGAUCCCCCACACUGGUACUGAGACAGGGACCAGACUCCUACGGGAGGCAGCAGUGAGGAAUAUUGGUCAAUGGUCGGAAGACUGAACCAGCCAUGCCGCGUGCAGGAAGAAUGCCUUAUGGGUUGUAAAACUGCUUUUAUAUGGGAAGAAUAAAGGAAGUACG